Long non-coding RNA from Canis lupus familiaris (dog), 664 nucleotides. RefSeq lists it as uncharacterized. The record is from RefSeq and is a predicted model, not a curated record. NCBI's taxonomy places the organism in Eukaryota, Metazoa, Chordata, Mammalia, Carnivora, Canidae. The transcript is spliced from 2 exons.
AGGGCUGCGCCUCCCGCCCAGGUGGAACCGGAGGAGCCGGGCUGGCGGUGCGGUGGGUCAGGUGGCCUGAGCCGGUUCCCGCUUUUGGUCCUGGAACUCCGGCAGACGCCAGGUCGCAAGGGGUUUCUGCUGUGUUUUCUUCUAGAGGUUGUAGGAGGAAGGUACAGAGUUCCCAUAUACCCCACCCCCCGCCCCGUAAGCCGUAUUCCCCGCGCGCCCAGGGGCAACAUACUUUCCCCGGAGGGGAGCCUUCGUUACCACCAGGGAGCGCGUAUUGAAACAUCAUCCCCCAGAGUUCGUGGUUCGCAGUCUGGUUCCCUCGUGGUGGUGUACCUCCUAUGGGUUUUAACAGACGCGGCGUAGUAACAGUUUGAAAUGCAAGGACGUGUGCUUCUUUUAAAGAUUUAUGUCUCUGUUGAUGUUGCUCCUCUAAUUCUUCAAGCUCUUGUGUAAGUCGUUGUCGUUCUUGUGUAAAUUGGGCUUGCAGCUGCUGCAAAGAAGUCUGAGACUGGGAAAGCUGCAUCUCCAGAUUCUGUUUCAGCAAGGAAAUCUAUGCCACAGAAUGGUACAAAAUGAAGAAUAAAUACAAGGCAUAUUUCACAAAUGGCCAUCUAAGGAAAAAAGCAUUUCAAAGAUAUUAACUAUAGUAAAAUAAUUGCCUUCA